Long non-coding RNA from Leptidea sinapis, 1473 nucleotides. RefSeq lists it as uncharacterized. Lineage: Eukaryota; Metazoa; Arthropoda; Insecta; Lepidoptera; Pieridae. The record is from RefSeq and is a predicted model, not a curated record. The transcript is spliced from 2 exons.
CGCGAGCGAUGGCUCCCGCGGCAGCCUCAGUAGUUUUGUUCAAUUUACACGAGGCCGCCUCGCGAGGCAGGCUGAGCCAUCAUAAGUCCGCGAGUAUUCGUAAUGGACAGUCUUGUAUUUUCAGCUGCAGCUAUUUUCCUAGCUGCUUAUUGUUUAAAGAAACGAAAACAGUCACGUAUCAAGAAAAAACCUAGACGCUUCUGGAUUAGAAAAAUGUAUGAGCGUCGCCACCAAUAUGGAAAUAGAUUACUUGGAGAUUUAGUAUAUGAUCAGACUGUACAUAAUUUUACACGAAUGUCCGUACAAGAGUUCGAAAAUUUGUGCUCAUUGUUGUCUGAUAAAAUAAAAAAGUGCGAUACAAAAUAUAGAGAAGCAAUCACUGUGAAUGAACGAGUUUUAAUAACUUUAAGAUUUUUAGCAACCGGAGAUUCUUAUAGCAGGUUGCAAUAUUAUUUCGAGUAUCGAAGCAGAGUAUCUCAAGAAUAGUUCCAGAAGUUUGUGACGCUAUUAUUGAAGCCUUAAGUGAUUAUGUAAAGGUAUUUAGGAGGUACAUCUAGUACAUAUGUGGCUUUGGGCUUAUACUUCGCUAGAGGAGAAUUCACAAUUGCAACGAUUGUGGCUGAUACUACAAAAAAAAAAUAUGGGAUUCUUUAAAGAAUAGAUUUAUGCCAGUUCCAGACCAUGAUAAGUGGAAGCGAAUUGCUGAACGAUACUAUACUUUGUGGAAUAUGCCUAAUUGUCUAGGCUCGAUUGACGGAAAACAUUUUAAAAUAAAAAAAAUCCCAAAUACGGGAUCUACUAAUUUUAAUUACAAAAAUUAUCAUUCUGUAAUCUUAAUAGCAUGUGCCGAUGCUGAUGGUCUGUUUACAAUGAUAGAAGUGGGAUAUGCAGGUAGAAAUAGUGACGCAGGUAUUUUCAGAGUUUCAUCUAUGAAGCGCCUUAUUGAGGAAGAUGCACUAAAUAUUCCUGCACCAGGACAAUGGAUGAAAAUAAUUACUCAUUUCUAUUUUACUUUGUUAGAGAUGAAGCCUUUCCUUUGGAAAAAUAUUUAAUGAGACCUUUUCCAGGAAGAACUGCCACCAACAUCUCACGCAUCUUUAAUUAUAGAUUAUCCCGUGCUAGAAAAAGUGUCGAGUGUGCUUUUGGCAUGUUAACGGAAAAAAAUAUGAUAUUCGAAUCACCAAUACGUUGCCGAACCCCUGAGGUGGUCAAUAAAAAGUGCUUGUGUAUUGCACAAUUUUGUGAGAUCCAAGGAAGGAAUACCGUAUCGCACAACUAACGUCGGUGAAGGAAUUAGUCAACGCCCUGCUGAUCUAAUGCCACAUGAUCUGAACCUAGGCCCGAAUCCUUCUCCUUUAUCUUUAAGAAAAUAUUUAAAUAAUUACUUUUUGACAUCACAGGCAGCAUUGCCGUGGCAAUGGGCUUAUUGUGUGUAGAAUUAUUUUAUUAAAUAAAGAGAAUAAUCAGCUCUCA